This is a long non-coding RNA of Morone saxatilis (striped sea-bass), 885 nucleotides long. RefSeq lists it as uncharacterized. Lineage: Eukaryota; Metazoa; Chordata; Actinopteri; Moronidae. The transcript is spliced from 3 exons. The record is from RefSeq and is a predicted model, not a curated record.
UAUUUCCAAAGCCUAAAAUAAAUUUGGUUAAAUGUCAAAAAGGGGGUCAAGCUGUGAGGAAGAGCUUGCAGUCAACAUCAGUACCAUCAAUAAGGACACCUGCAUCUGCCUAAAGGGCGGGAAUAUCUCAAGCAUGUGUGAACCCCUCCUCCCAAACACCUCAGCGGUUAAUGAAAAGAUGGGAAAUUAAGACGUCCAGCUGGUCACUACAUUUGAAACUACCAUAAUAACUACCAUGAAAGGUGAGAAGAAUGGAGUCUUUUUCUACCCCCACCGUCCACUCACCGAAACCCAGAGUCUAGACUGAGCCCCAGAUGGAAGGUGAUGGGUGGGGGGGGGUUCAUAAACUGCAACAAAUGAAGACAAAAUGCUUUCAGCUGCCCUUGGCGGACGAGGAUGGAUCUGCUCUCGUGCUUCGUAUGGAAGAGGGGGGACGUUUGACGGGGUCUUCAACCGCGCUGUCCUCUCUGCAGAGACUUUUCCUGCAGUGGCAUUUGUCAACAGGAGCUCGCAUUAGCAUACAGAGCAAAUCCUGUCAAAUAUUUAAAUGAAUCUUGAGCGGAAACACAUUGAUUAUUAGAUUUCUUCAGGGAUUCUUUUCCCCCCCAUUAUUGAUUCAUCUGCUGAUCAUAUUCUCAAUUCAUUGUUUGUUCACUGCCGUCAAAUGUCAGGAAAUCGAAUGAAUCAAAUGUGAUCAUAGAAGCAUUAGAUAACCAGAACAUGUGAACAUUGGAGGAGCUGGAAACACUUUUGCUUUAAAAAAACAAACUUGUUGCAGAUUUUAUGCUGUUAAUCGAUUGAUUGUUUCAGCUUUAAUUGAUGUAAAAUCUAGAAAAGCCUAUGGAUGGAUGGCAAAGUUUGUGUUUGCUUCACUGCUAAAGACUC